GAAAAAUACCAUUCUUGAUUUCAGGUAGCCUUUUAUUUUAGCGAUAAUAGUUAGCUCAGCAAGCAGAGAUGUCUUCAGUUGAUGAUUUCAUCAUAUUUUUCCAAAGCUGAUCUAAGGAGAAGCUGCCUGGUAGUUACAGUGACGGCCGCAAGCACGGCUGUGUGGAGGUUGGAUUGCAGGAUGAUUGGCCCAACGAAGAUGGUACAACAUAUGACACCAAUGCACGGGAGCCUACAUCUCUUGGCAGCACCAUGGCUCCGAUUUGUGUGGGAAGCUCCCUCCCCGAUGGCCAGCUCGGGCGGUUCGGUGAGAUUGACCCUCACAAUCUCCUCCUUCCCCAAU
Molecule: long non-coding RNA, 342 nt
Organism: Lolium perenne
Lineage: Eukaryota; Viridiplantae; Streptophyta; Magnoliopsida; Poales; Poaceae
Source: RefSeq, a predicted model, not a curated record